This 1761-nucleotide ribosomal RNA is filed under the name Triticum aestivum (bread wheat). RNAcentral describes it as "partial small subunit ribosomal RNA". The record is from RNAcentral. Lineage: Eukaryota; Viridiplantae; Streptophyta; Magnoliopsida; Poales; Poaceae.
AUGCGGUGUAUUUGCUGCGUCCGAUCCCGCGCGCAGCUUCACCAACAGCCAGAUCUGAGACCUCUAGGCGCUGGCGGCGCCGCCCGCACCUUCCUCAUUCGCUCCGGUAACCCGUUGGCGCUUCCCCCGCCUAUCCCCGCGCGCCACCGCUGCUUCCUCCACCUUCUCUCCCCGCCGCCACCCCUUGAGCACACCGUUCCUCCGACGAACAGCGCCCGACAGCCGUUUGCAGCUCGGCGCCCACAAGGUGUUUGGCAAAACGCUUGCAAGGAAGAAGAAACCAAGAAGAAGAAGAAGAUGUCUGGAAAAGGGAAGAGGCGAAGCGCCAGGUUGCUCAAGCUCGAGGAGCAGAAGAAUGAUGACAAGGACGGUGGCUGCAUCCUAGAUCCCUGGCACAUCAUCCGGAAUAGCUUCUCCUGCGCCGCGCAAGGGAAGAGAAAAAGGAAUGACGAAAUCCAGGGAGAAGCUUCGUGUGGCCAAGAGAUCGAUGCGGCAUAUACUGAUAACAUGUCAGGCAAGGGCGCGACGUCGGAGCAGAUCAUCGACUACAUUCUCAACAUGCUGGAGCUGAGAGACAGACUCGAGUUGUUUGCGAUGCCGGAUGACAUCCAGGUGGGUGAUUGCGCGGAACGGGUAGAGAGGCCUGGCGAUUUUGCGACGUUAAGGCAGAAGAACACAGAUGGCACGUACAAGACACUAGAGCAAUUCGAGAAGGAUGUGUACAUUGUGUUCCAGAAGGCAAUGUCCAUAAACAGCCAGGACACCAUACCUUACAAAGAGGCCGUGGCGUUGCUGGAUCAAGCCAGGCAGGUUUUCCAGUCUCUGAAGAAGAACCGGAUGUACUCCGAGUCGGACCUGCUGGCGUGGCGUCACAAGCAACUCGACGCCGGGCCCAGCAACGCAGCGAGAGAUCAACAAGGCGGCGAUGCUGCCGUUACACCUGCACAGCAGCGGCCCAGCAUCACGCCGCUGAGGAAGAAGGCCGGCGAGAAGAAACACCAGAUCAAAAGCACGCCAUCGCCCGUAAAGAGAGCAAGAAAAGGAUUCGCAGCAGCGACAAGGGAACCUGGUGGUGCCAGGGAGCUGAACAGGAAGCUCAGUUACAACGAUGGCGCUGGUCGGGCAACGCCGGUGACGCUGCCGCCGCCUGCCUUCCGAGAUGGGCAAGCUACCGUCGUUUAUCAACAUCCGCAGGUGCAGGGGGGGCACACGUACCAGGACAGCCUCCGGCGCUUCGUGCGGCACGCAGGGCUCAAAGCAAGGCUGGCCACCGAGUUCAAGAUCCUCGACUGUGACACUCGGGGCAGGCACAACCCCUCGCCGGCCUCCUACUGGAACGGUUUCACCCCCAACGCUGCCACCUACUACCCCUCAGGUGCCGCCACCACCUCGCCCCGCACGACGUCACCGUCGUCCGGUGCCGAGCGGCCGUUUCCGGAUUGCAAGCUGGAGACGGACGACCUGCUCAGCCUCGUCAUGCUCAUGGGCACGCCCGCCUUCUUGGAGAGAGCCAAGCACAUGUUUGGUUACACGGGCGCUGAGGACAUCUCCAAGGUGACCAGAGCGGCCGACGACGAUGCAAAGGUCACCGUCUCAGAAGCGCCGCAGACAAGUGAUGCAGGCGAUCCAGCGGCCACUUUCGGACCGUUCGCUCCGCCCAAGUUGCCCCUUAGCCGGCUGGGCUUCAGCCAGUUCGCCGGCUCUUCGGCCCAGCCGUUCAUGGUGAAGUCGAAUUCUCCUUGGGAGAAGAGACGAGAAUGA